GACAAACGCUGGCGGCGUGCUUAACACAUGCAAGUCGAACGAAGCUCUGAUCUCUGCGUUUUCGGACAAAGAGAGAAGAUGACUUAGUGGCGGACGGGUGAGUAAUGCGUGAGCAACCUGCCCUUCAGAGGGGGACAACAGCUGGAAACGGCUGCUAAUACCGCAUGACACGGAAUGGAGGCAUCUCUGUACCGUCAAAGAUUUAUCGCUGAAGGAUGGGCUCACGUCUGAUUAGCUUGUUGGUGAGGUAACGGCUCACCAAGGCGACGAUCAGUAGCCGGGACUGAGAGGUUGACCGGCCACAUUGGGACUGAGAUACGGCCCAGACUCCUACGGGAGCAGCAGUGGGGAAUAUUGGG
RNAcentral lists this ribosomal RNA (359 nucleotides) under uncultured bacterium. RNAcentral describes it as "bacterial SSU rRNA". It matches the Rfam family "Bacterial small subunit ribosomal RNA", at positions 28 to 368 of the family's 1533-position model. The record is from RNAcentral.